Molecule: non-coding RNA, 210 nt
Organism: Seminavis robusta
Lineage: Eukaryota; Bacillariophyta; Bacillariophyceae; Naviculales; Naviculaceae
Source: the annotation of a GenBank genome assembly
GCACCAGUAGCUCAGUGGUAGAGCGCAUCGGACUCGGCUGUAUGAGGUUAUCCCCCAGGGGUUGGUCUUGAACGGUUCGGGUUGGAGGUUUGGUACAUCAACGUAGGUUAUAGGUUUUCGCCACAACGAUGGUGUCGGAGAGAGGUACUGCCUCGCCUCUGACGCCAGGUCGAAAACGAUGAGACCUGAGUUCAAUUCUCAGCUGGUGCA